This 510-nucleotide ribosomal RNA is filed under the name uncultured bacterium. RNAcentral describes it as "bacterial SSU rRNA". It matches the Rfam family "Bacterial small subunit ribosomal RNA", at positions 19 to 518 of the family's 1533-position model. The record is from RNAcentral.
AUGGCUCAGAACGAACGCUGGCGGCGCGUUUAAGCAUGCAAGUCGAGCGGCAAGGGCCUUCGGGCCCCUAGAGCGGCGGACGGGUGAGUAACACGUGGACAAUCUGCCCCCCGGCCCGGGAUAGCCCAGGGAAACCUGGAUUAAUACCGGAUGAGACGGGACCCGCGAUGGCGGGAUCCGGGAAAGGCGCUGCGGCGCCGCCGGGGGAUGAGUCUGCGUCCCAUUAGCUAGACGGCGGGGUAACGGCCCACCGUGGCGACGAUGGGUAGCCGGCCUGAGAGGGUGGACGGCCACAUUGGAACUGAGACACGGUCCAGACUCCUACGGGAGGCAGCAGCUAAGAAUCUUCCGCAAUGGGCGAAAGCCUGACGGAGCGACGGCCCGCGUGAACGAAGAAGGCCGUGAGGUUGUAAAGUUCUUUUCGGGAGGGGGAACAACCGUGGCAGGGAAUGGCCGCGGGAUGACGUGAAUCCCGGAAUAAGCCCCGGCUAACUACGUGCCAGCAGCGGC